GUUUCUGUAGUGUAGUGGUCAUCACGGUUGCUUUACACGCAAAAGGUCCCUGGUUCAAUUCCAGGCAGAAACA
Electrophorus electricus (electric eel) is the source of this 73-nucleotide non-coding RNA. The record is from the annotation of a RefSeq genome assembly. NCBI's taxonomy places the organism in Eukaryota, Metazoa, Chordata, Actinopteri, Gymnotiformes, Gymnotidae.